This 465-nucleotide ribosomal RNA is filed under the name uncultured bacterium. RNAcentral's name for it is "partial 16S ribosomal RNA". It matches the Rfam family "Bacterial small subunit ribosomal RNA", at positions 338 to 795 of the family's 1533-position model. The record is from RNAcentral.
CCUACGGGUGGCAGCAGUGGGGAAUAUUGCGCAUUGGGCGAAAGCCUGACGCAGCGACGCCGCGUGAGGGAUGAAGGUCCUCGGAUCGUAAACCUCUGUCAGCAGGGAAGAACGGUCACUGUGCUAAUCAGCAGUGAAUUGACGUUACCUGCAAAGGAAGCACCGGCUAAAUCCGUGCCAGCAGCCGCGGUAAUACGGGGGGGGCGUGCGUUAAUCGGAAUUAUUGGGCGUAAAGCGCUCGUAGGCGGUAGGUCAAGUCAAGGGUGAAAUCCCCGCGCUCAACGUGGGAAGUGCCGUUGAAACUGGGAAACUGGAGUGUGUGAGAGGAUAGUGGAAUUCCAGGUGUAGGAGUGAAAUCCGUAGAUAUCUGGAAGAACAUCAGUGGCGAAGGCGACUAUCUGGCACAUAACUGACGCUGAGGAGCGAAAGCGUGGGUAGCAAACAGGAUUAGAUACCCGGGUAGUC